AGCACCCUGGGGUUCGGUGGUGAUGAGGGAGGACAGGCUAGCACUCCAAGGGGACAGUGUUAGCUUAAAUCCUGGUAGAAACAGUUCAAUAGAGCAAGCAGGUACUCUUCACAAAUCAGUUAGCAGGUUAGAGCAAACACCAAUAGGGAUGGACAGGCCAGCACUUCCAAGAGGACGGCAUUAGCUUAAAUCCAGGUAGGGCAAUUCAAUGGGGUAGGCAGAUAUUAGUCAUAAAAUAGCUAGCUGACUAGAGCAGACACCAAUGAGGAUGGACAGGCCGGCGCUUCCAGGGAGAUAGCGUUAGCUUAAAUCCAGGUAGGGCAAUUCAAUGGGGUAAGCAGAUGUUAGCUAUACAAGCUAGCUGCCAAAUCUCACGCUUUGC
Molecule: long non-coding RNA, 382 nt
Organism: Alosa sapidissima (American shad)
Lineage: Eukaryota; Metazoa; Chordata; Actinopteri; Clupeiformes; Clupeidae
Exons: 3
Source: RefSeq, a predicted model, not a curated record